AUGAUAUCGAAAGCUCACCAUGGCAAAAUCACAACUUUGAAGGUUGGGUUAUUUUUAAAUGGACUGGUUUUGACAACAUUUGAAGCACGGUUGGGAUUAUUGCAGCAAGGCUGGUUCGACAAUUUGUUGGAACUGUUAGAAAUAGGUGAGAAAUUAGAAGUGAAAUUGUUUAGAUCUGUUGAUGUGUAUAGGGCAGGUCUCUGUUUGGAUUUUAUGGUGCAGGGAUGA
Vicia faba (fava bean) is the source of this 228-nucleotide non-coding RNA. NCBI's taxonomy places the organism in Eukaryota, Viridiplantae, Streptophyta, Magnoliopsida, Fabales, Fabaceae. The record is from the annotation of a GenBank genome assembly.